AUCCUGAUUGCUGCCUACACUGUCAAAAAACUGUCUCCGUACGUGUGGAGGAGGCUAAAGAGAGGGGCAGCAGUGAUCAGGGAGGCGGGGCUAAAACACCUGUGGGCGUGGUCAGCACUGUGGAGGGCGGUGAAGAUGAGAACAAGAAGAAGAAAGUGGACAGGUCUCCAUCAGUCAACAGAGACUUCAUCCUCAGACUGUCUCACCUGCUGA
Long non-coding RNA from Poeciliopsis prolifica (blackstripe livebearer), 213 nucleotides. RefSeq lists it as uncharacterized. Lineage: Eukaryota; Metazoa; Chordata; Actinopteri; Cyprinodontiformes; Poeciliidae. The record is from RefSeq and is a predicted model, not a curated record. The transcript is spliced from 3 exons.